AACGAACGCUGGCGGCAUGCCUAACACAUGCAAGUCGAACGAGAUCUUCGGGUCUAGUGGCGCACGGGUGCGUAACGCGUGGGAAUCUGCCCUUUGGUUCGGAAUAACAGUUGGAAACGACUGCUAAUACCGGAUGAUGACGAAAGUCCAAAGAUUUAUCGCCAGAGGAUGAGCCCGAGUAGGAUUAGCUAGUUGGUGUGGUAAAGGAGCACCAAGGCGACGAUCCUUAGCUGGUCUGAGAGGAUGAUCAGCCACACUGGGACUGAGACACGGCCCAGACUCCUACGGGAGACAGCAGUGGGGAAUAUUGGACAAUGGGCGAAAGCCUGAUCCAGCAAUGCCGCGUGAGUGAUGAAGGCCUUAGGGUUGUAAAGCUCUUUUACCCGGGAUGAUAAUGACAGUACCGGGAGAAUAAGCUCCGGCUAACUCCGUGCCAGCCGCCGCCGUAA
RNAcentral lists this ribosomal RNA (449 nucleotides) under uncultured bacterium. RNAcentral describes it as "partial 16S ribosomal RNA". It matches the Rfam family "Bacterial small subunit ribosomal RNA", at positions 29 to 523 of the family's 1533-position model. The record is from RNAcentral.